AGUUUGAUCAUGGCUCAGGAUGAACGCUGGCGGCGUGCCUAACACAUGCAAGUCGAGCGAUUCUCUUCGGAGAAGAGCGGCGGACGGGUGAGUAACGCGUGGGUAACAUGCCCUGUACACACGGAUAACAUACCGAAAGGUAUGCUAAUACGGGAUAAUGUACUUUUGUCGCAUGGCAAAAGUAUCAAAGCUCCGGCGGUACAGGAUGGACCCGCGUCUGAUUAGCUAGUUGGUGAGGUAAUGGCUCACCAAGGCGACGAUCAGUAGCCGACCUGAGAGGGUGAUCGGCCACAUUGGAACUGAGACACGGUCCAAACUCCUACGGGAGGCAGCAGUGGGGAAUAUUGCACAAUGGGCGAAAGCCUGAUGCAGCAACGCCGCGUGAGCGAUGAAGGCCUUCGGGUCGUAAAGCUCUGUCCUCAAGGAAGAUAAUGACGGUACUUGAGGAGGAAGCCCCGGCUAACUACGUGCCAGCAGCCGCGGUAAUACGUAGGGGGCUAGCGUUAUCCGGAAUUACUGGGCGUAAAGGGUGCGUAGGUGGUUUUUUAAGUCAGAAGUGAAAGGCUACGGCUCAACCGUGGUAAGCUUUUGAAACUGAGAAACUUGAGUGCAGGAGAGGAGAGUAGAAUUCCUAGUGUAGCGGUGAAAUGCGUAGAUAUUAGGAGGAAUACCAGUUGCGAAGGCGGCUCUCUGGACUGUAACUGACACUGAGGCACGAAAGCGUGGGGAGCAAACAGGAUUAGAUACCCUGGUAGUCCACGCCGUAAACGAUGAGUACUAGGUGUCGGGGGUUACCCCCCUCGGUGCCGCAGCUAACGCAUUAAGUACUCCGCCUGGGAAGUACGCUCGCAAGAGUGAAACUCAAAUGAAUUGACGG
RNAcentral lists this ribosomal RNA (877 nucleotides) under uncultured bacterium. RNAcentral describes it as "bacterial SSU rRNA". It matches the Rfam family "Bacterial small subunit ribosomal RNA", at positions 10 to 916 of the family's 1533-position model. The record is from RNAcentral.